This 501-nucleotide ribosomal RNA is filed under the name uncultured bacterium. RNAcentral's name for it is "bacterial SSU rRNA". It matches the Rfam family "Bacterial small subunit ribosomal RNA", at positions 381 to 896 of the family's 1533-position model. The record is from RNAcentral.
GUCUGAGGCAGCAACUCCGCGUGAGGGACGAAGGCUCUCGGGUCGUAAACCUCUUUUCUCAGGGGAAGAUCCAAGACGGUACCUGAGGAAUAAGCCACGGCUAACUACGUGCCAGCAGCCGCGGUAAUACGUAGGUGGCAAGCGUUGUCCGGAUUUACUGGGCGUAAAGAGCGCGCAGGCGGCUGGUCAAGUCCGAUGUGAAAUCUCCCGGCUCAACUGGGAAACUGCAUCGGAAACUGAUCGGCUUGAAGGUGGGAGAGGGUAGUGGAAUUCCCGGUGUAGUGGUGAAAUGCGUAGAUAUCGGGAGGAACACCAGUGGCGAAGGCGACUACCUGGCCCACUCUUGACGCUGAGGCGCGAAAGCUAGGGGAGCGAACGGGAUUAGAUACCCCGGUAGUCCUAGCCGUAAACGAUGAACACUAGGCGUAGUCGGUAUCGACCCCGGCUGUGCCGUAGCCAACGCAUUAAGUGUUCCGCCUGGGGAGUACGGCCGCAAGGCUA